AAGUCGUAACAAGGUUUCCGUAGGUGAACCUGCGGAAGGAUCAUUAACACGUAUCCACGUUAUAAACCCUUCGUGCUUUUUUAUUAGUACCUGCCUUCAGCGUGCGGACCCUUUGGAUUGCACGAGUGCCAGAAUGGUCGUGAUGCUCGCAUUACGCGCACUCGUGUGUCUGUUGGUCGUAGCGUAAUUAACGUGCGCCGUUUUACCUACGCUCCUUCGUGGUCUCGCAGAGCUUCCGUCGCAGGCAUUUUUGUUAACCAUUCGGCAAACCUUUAUAUUAACCAAACCCUUUGAAAACAUCUUACUAACGAAACGUUGUCUGCCCUUGGUUGUCUUCAAUGCACAAUUCUCAAGGCAUUCAAUUAUUACGAAACGCUGAACAACUCUUAGCAACGGAUAUCUUGGUUCUC
This 410-nucleotide unclassified non-coding RNA is filed under the name fungal sp. RNAcentral's name for it is "partial internal transcribed spacer region". The stretch from base 1 to 46 matches the Rfam family "Eukaryotic small subunit ribosomal RNA", at positions 1786 to 1831 of the family's 1831-position model. The record is from RNAcentral. Lineage: Eukaryota; Fungi.